AAGAGAGUUUGGCUCCGGACGCCGACCAACCAGAGAUUGAGAUUAGGAUGCUGCUGCUGCUGCUGCUUUAUUCGGACGUGACACCACCACUGUACCGCCACCGCACUCACCCGGCCGGCAAGCUACAUACAUUACAUGACCAGAGAAGGCGCAGCGGGGAGGGCAGAUUCCUCUGCCAAAGAUUUCCCCACCUUCCCGAAUUGAAUUUCACCACAGGCCAGAGGCGUUCGUCCCCUGCUUCCCGGAUCAUCGUUACUUACUUGAUCUGGCCACGGUUCUGGAAGUUUCACCGACUUGGUUGCUUUGAAUAGGAGUAUGAACUAUCACCAACUUGGUGAACAGUUAUUUUUAUGGGAAUAGAAAAGCUCCAUAAGCAGCCCUCUGGUCGUCUGGUUGAAUCCCUUAAAAUGGAGAGGGUUAGGACCAUUCUGACUCAUGGAUACCCAUACCCACAUAAGAACUCGAGACAUUUCAUGAUUAGAAAGACUAUCAAGCCAGACUAUUCAAACUUUAGUCGUUGGUACGUUGCUUGGAUAUUCUUGGCCGCAUUAACCAUCGCCCUAGUUUUCAGUCAAUGGGGUUGGAUUUGAGGAUGAAUCUUUCCCUCUUCCUCGCUGUUUAUAUUUCCUCUCUAGUUUUCUUUAUCAUCUUCCACGUCAUAUUUCUUGGACUCUGGUAUUUGGAUCUUAGUUUCUCGCAUGGCACAGAAAAAGCCAGAGAUGCUUACUAUAGUCCAAAAUUGUGCAGUGAUAAGUAUAGCUUGCUGCGUGUUCUACAGCCACUGUAGUAACAGGACUCUUUCAAGGGACCAAUCUUUUGAUCGUAGAACUGCUAGCUUGGUUGCAUUUUCACUAUGGAGAAAGCAAAAUGAGGACAAGAGACUGAUUUCAAAGCAAUUGCCUAUGCAUAAGCUUAAGGGCCAGAUUUGCUCGUCCUGGUUUGCUCCGGUUGGCUCUGCCAGUGAUUACCCACUUCUAUGGAAAUGGGCCAUUUAUGGAGAAUUAGCUUCCAAUGGAUCUGAACACUCCAACAUCAUUUCACCUGUCUACUCUUUGUGGGUUACAUUCAUUGGUCUUACAUGGCCAAUUAUGUCGUGGAGCGGUCAACUGGAUGGGCUCUAAAUCAUCCUUUAACAAUUUCGGAGUAUGAGAAUCUGAAGAAACUGUUGAAACCGGAUUUUGAGGACAUGGUUCCUUGGUAUUCUGGGCUGCUAUGAACAAAGGUCCAGACGAAUCUAAGAGCAGCUACCUUUUGUACAAUCAUCUUGAUGGAAAAGACGAACUUUGGUUUGACUUCAUUGCAGAUACCGGCGAUGGGGGCAACUCUACAUAUGCUACAGCACACUUACUUGCUCAGCAUUCUUUAGUGUAAAAUCUGAUGAUUCGAGGCUUAUAUUUCCCCGUGGAAAACUACUAAUUGGUGGAAACCUCAUAUAUCCAAAUCCAUGCUCAUUUACAUAUGAGCAGUGUUUUUCCGCCCUUUUGAUUAUGCUCUCCGGCCUCCUGCUUGGUAUACGCCUGAACACAUAACAUUGGAAAAACCUGAACUUCCUCUUGGAGUUUAUGAGCUCAGGCAGUAUAGCCGAUCACAGUGUUUUUAUGAUUCCUGGAAACCACGGUAAAUAUUACCUACCUAUGAUCUGCAUUGUACUUUGCGUCUUAUGACAUUCAUAUACCUGUCUUCUUCCUUGCC
Molecule: non-coding RNA, 1692 nt
Organism: Aegilops tauschii subsp. strangulata
Lineage: Eukaryota; Viridiplantae; Streptophyta; Magnoliopsida; Poales; Poaceae
Source: RefSeq, a predicted model, not a curated record